UUCAGACUCCUGUUCAGCCGCAUGUUCCAAGCUCGUGGAGCCUGCCGCAGUCCAUAGAGGGCCUUGGAUAACCUCUCUCCGUUCAGAAAUGCCGACUUCACGUCUAGAUGGUGUACCUCCCAGCCUUGAUUUGCUGCAAGUGCAAGAAUGACUCGAAUAGUAUCAAGUCUAGCGACAGCUGAAUCUUUCUUCAGUUUGAACACCCAUUUUAGGCCGAUAGGUUUGUGGCCUAAUGGGAGCUCAGUUAGGGUCCAGGUCUUGUUCAUCUCAAUAGUCUUCAGUUCUUCCUCCAUUGCUUCGUACCAGCAAG
Molecule: long non-coding RNA, 310 nt
Organism: Zingiber officinale
Lineage: Eukaryota; Viridiplantae; Streptophyta; Magnoliopsida; Zingiberales; Zingiberaceae
Exons: 3
Source: RefSeq, a predicted model, not a curated record